AGCAACGCCGGUGAACGAUGAAGGCCUUCGGGUCGUAAAGUUCUGUUGUGAGGGAAGAACAAGGCGUGCGAACUGAGAGGACUUGACGGGCCCCCCCCUAGAAGCCGCGGCUAACUUCUUGGCAGCGAGCGCCGUAAUACCUAAGGGGCGAGCGUUGAUCGGAAUUAUUGGGCGUAAAGCGCACGUCAAGGGGAUUGCUUAGCCCGAUGUGAAAGCCCCAGGCUCAACCGGGGAAGGGCAUUAGAAAAUGGGGGACUUGAAUGCGUGAGAGGAAAGUGGAAUUCCCUGUGGAGCAGUGAAAUGCGUAAAGGUGAGGAUGAACACCGUUGGCGAAGGCGACCCUCUGGACCGUGACUGGCGCUGAGGAUCAAAAACCUUGGUAGUCAACCCGAUUAAAUACCCUUGUAGUCCACGCCGUAAACGAUGAGUGCUAGGUGUUAGGAGGCUUCCAACCCUUAGCGCUGAAGUUAACGCAUUAAACACUCCGCCUGGGGAGUACGGCCGCAAGGCUGAAACUCAAAGGAAUUGACG
RNAcentral lists this ribosomal RNA (531 nucleotides) under uncultured bacterium. RNAcentral's name for it is "bacterial SSU rRNA". It matches the Rfam family "Bacterial small subunit ribosomal RNA", at positions 390 to 915 of the family's 1533-position model. The record is from RNAcentral.